AUUAAGCAUAUAACUAAGCGGAGGAAAAGAAACUAACCAGGAUUCCCCCAGUAACGGCGAGUGAAGCGGGAAGAGCUCAAGCUUGAAAUCCGGCGCCCCCGGGGGGUGCCGGAGUUGUAACCUACAGGUGCGUGUUCGCCCGCUGGUGGGGCUGCGGCUAAGUCCGAUUUGAAAAGGGCACCAAGGAGGGUGGCAGUCCCGUUCGUGCCGUGGUCCUGCCUGCGAUGUGGCCUCGCUUCCCAGGAGUCGAGUUGCUUGGGAUUGCAGCUCAAAGGGGGUGGUAAACUCCAUCCAAAGCUAAACACGUGUGGGAGACCGAUAGCGAACAAGUACCGUGAGGGAAAGAUGCAAAGAACUUUGAAAAGAGAGUCAAAGAGUGCCUGAAAUUGCUGAGAGGGAAGCGAAGGAAAGUAGUGUCGAUCGAGGGGAUCUUGCACACGGGGAACGGUCCCCUGGGGCCCUCCCCGUUAUCCCCCGCGCUGUCAGGGGCGGGUGUGGUUUAAGUCGGCGACUGCGGCAUCAUUAGUACAGGUGUUCCGAGGUAACAGCCGGACAAAUGCUGUGGGUCACUGAGCGUCCCGCCCGCGGCCGUCCCUGACGAAAUGUUUUUCUUUACCCCGUCUUGAAACACGGACCAAGGAGUCUAACAUGCCCGCGAGUACAGGGGUGAUGGAAACCCCCGUGCGCAGUGAAAGUGAAUGCAGGUGGCAGGGGAUUAUGGCCCCGCACCAUCGACCGACCACGCUACCAAGAGUGCGAGGUUUGAGUGUGAGCGUGUAUGUUGGGACCCGAAAGAUGGUGAACUAUGCCUGAGUAGGGCGAAGCCAGGGGAAACUCUGGUGGAGGCUCGUAGCGAUUCUGACGUGCAAAUCGAUCGUGGGAUUUGGGUAUAGGGGCGAAAGACUAAUCGAACCAUCUAGUAGCUGGUUCCCUCCGAAAUUUCCCUCAGGAUAGCUGCAACCUUGUUACCAGUUUUAUCAGGUAAAGCGAAUGAUUAGAGGCUGCGGGGGAGUAACUCCCUCGCCCUAUUCUCAAACUUUAAAUGGGUAAGCCACCUGGGUCGCUUCGGUGGACUCUUGGCACAAUGAAUGAUGGUUGUUAGUGGGCCAGUCCGGGUAAGCUGGACUGGCGAUGCGGGAUGAACCGAACGCCUAGUUAAAGCGCCUCACUGCCCGCUCACCUAGACCCCACAAAAGGUGUUGGUUCAUUUUGACAGCAGGACGGUGGCCAUGGAAGUCGGAACCCGCUAAGGAGUGU
This 1257-nucleotide ribosomal RNA is filed under the name Lobophora rosacea. Its description in RNAcentral is "LSU rRNA". It matches the Rfam family "Eukaryotic large subunit ribosomal RNA", at positions 33 to 1281 of the family's 3401-position model. Lineage: Eukaryota; Phaeophyceae; Dictyotales; Dictyotaceae. The record is from RNAcentral.